Molecule: ribosomal RNA, 301 nt
Filed under: uncultured bacterium
Lineage: Bacteria
Description: partial 16S ribosomal RNA
Rfam family: Bacterial small subunit ribosomal RNA
Source: RNAcentral
CAGUCGCCGCGGGAACACGAAGGGUGCAAGCGUUACUCGGAAUUACUGGGCGUAAAGCGUGCGUAGGUGGUGGUUUAAGUCCGUUGUGAAAGCCCUGGGCUCAACCUGGGAAUUGCAGUGGAUACUGGGUCACUAGAGUGUGGUAGAGGAUAGUGGAAUUUCCGGUGUAGCAGUGAAAUGCGUAGAGAUCGGAAGGAACAUCUGUGGCGGAGGCGACUAUCUGGGCCAACACUGACACUGAGGCACGAAAGCGUGGGGAGCAAACAGGAUUAGAUACCCGCGUAGUCCCUGUCUCUUAUAC